Molecule: ribosomal RNA, 253 nt
Filed under: uncultured bacterium
Lineage: Bacteria
Description: partial 16S ribosomal RNA
Rfam family: Bacterial small subunit ribosomal RNA
Source: RNAcentral
GACGGGGGAUGCAAGCGGUAUCCGGAAUCACUGGGCGUAAAGCGUCUGUAGGUGGUGAUGCAAGUCACUGGUGCAAAACUCUGGCUCAACCGGAGGAAAGCCAGUGAAACUGCAUGACUAGAGUGUGGGAGAGGUAGAAGGAAUUCCCUGAGUAGCGGUGAAAUGCGUAGAUACAGGGAAGAACACCGGAGGCGAAAGCGUUCUACUGGAACACAACUGACACUGGGGAACGAAAGCUAGGGGAGCGAAUGGG